UUCUACCAAGAUCCCAGAACAAUGUGCCAAAGACAAGUGCUAGGAUGACUGUGAAGAUGAAUCUAACUGCCGUGUAAGAUGGAUUACGCCAGUAUGACAAAUGUUGCUUCCAGAGACAUGCCAUACAUUGAGUCCAGAAAGGCUGUGAAAAUUGAGUUUCAAAAUGCAGAUUCUUUGUACCAGGACGAGGCGUACUUAAUUCAGCAAUUAAGGCUUUGUUCCUCUUGUAGAGGUCUGAUUUCUUG
Molecule: long non-coding RNA, 245 nt
Organism: Solanum stenotomum
Lineage: Eukaryota; Viridiplantae; Streptophyta; Magnoliopsida; Solanales; Solanaceae
Exons: 2
Source: RefSeq, a predicted model, not a curated record